AACGAACGCUGGCGGCAUGCUUAACACAUGCAAGUCGAACGAGACUCCGGGGCUUGCUCCGGGGAAAAGUGGCGCACGGGUGAGUAACACGUGGAUAACGUUCCUAUUGGUUCGGAAUAACCUGCCGAAAGGCGGGCUAAUGCCGGAUGAGCUCGUAUUUGGUUUGCCAAGAACGAGGAAAGCGGGGCAACUCGCGCCGAAUGAUCGGUCCGCGUCCCAUCAGCUAGUUGGUGAGGAACGGCUCACCAAGGCUACGACGGGUAGCUGGUCUGAGAGGAUGAUCAGCCACACUGGGACUGAGACACGGCCCAGACUCCUAC
This 320-nucleotide ribosomal RNA is filed under the name uncultured bacterium. RNAcentral describes it as "bacterial SSU rRNA". It matches the Rfam family "Bacterial small subunit ribosomal RNA", at positions 29 to 342 of the family's 1533-position model. The record is from RNAcentral.